UUAACGCGACCGUCUUGUUCGAGCCCAUGCACCGAGAACGUAAUUGUGUGAGGAUAUUGUUGCGGAGUGACGAGUGUAAUUGUAUCAUAGUUUAUGGAGAAAAACAAUUUAAAAGGGACGUUCAACGCGCUGUCAAAUCAGUCAUAUUUAAACUUGCGCAAUGACGUUGGCAUGUGGUCGCGGAGGAAAACGAUCAAAGAUAAAUUAAGGUCCUCACAUGGCGCGAAACCAACUUUUUCCAUGUCAAACUUGGACAGCGGCUGUCCAUGACACACAUGACAACAUCAUCUUCUAGUGGCGUGGAGCUCCACUCCACAGAAAAUACUGUAAUAAAGGAACUGGAAGAAGAGCCCUUUCGCUUUGUGGCCUUUAAAAUCAAAGAGACCACCCUCUUCGACUUGCAACCAGAGAUGCUGGCGUGGCUCCACGACACCAAGUUGGAACACUGACGUUACACGUGAGAGACACAGAGAGAGAGAGAGAGAGAGGCAAGUCGCCGAUUUAGGUGACCCAGUUUAUUAUUUUGUUUAUAGCAAAUACAGUUGCAAAUAUAUUGUUUCAAUGUGUAGUUAAUGGUAUUAAUGUAUAGUAUAUGAUUUUAAUCUAUUUUAAUCUAUAGUAAUGGUAUUUUACCCAUGCCUUAUUUUGGGAUAUUUGUAACUUCUGCUGUCUUUAUCUUAGUAUUCUGGAAUACUAUGGUUUAUUUCGAAAAUGUUUCUCAGAUGUCGCAUGUUUUCCCAUUCUAGAUUGAUAGAUAGAAUUUACGGUAGCGUUCUUUGGCCUGCUGUCCAAAGAACAUAGAAAACAAUACGGAAUGCGAUCAUCUCAUGUGCGGUGGCACCACAAAGUAGAUUGCAGAAGUUAACUCAGCAGCAUGGACGCGUUCCAGGCAGUUACUGCGACCGCAAGGGGGUAAGUAUUACUAAAAAAAGCACACAAGUUUCAAACUUGCCGAGUGGACAGUGAAUCAGAAAAUAGAUUUGUCAAAAAGUGUGAGGAAAAUAUGCACUGUCUGCCGACUCACAUUUUCCAUAGUCCAUGUGGAACUGACUCACCUUAAGCAACACGGUGGACACGAACGAAAAAACGCACAACUAAGCAAGGGGGAACCUGGACAGAUCCAUCAGGCAACGACAAAGAUGAUUAUCCAGACAUCCCCAACGUCAAAGCAGCAGUAUCUUUGGCCUCAGCAUCCUUAUUUUCCACUGGGCUUUGUGGACAGGAAUGUCUUUUUCGAAAUGUUCCAUCCAACUUUAAACUGUUCAUCUCAUGCCUAAUAACUGUCGCUCAGCACUGACACCUGGUGGACGUUAUGUUGUCAUGCAAAUGUUGUUAUGCCUAAUAAGAACAGAUUCAGAUUUGAUUCUUAGUAGUUAUCUUGCUGACUGUUUCUUGUUGACUAAUACUUCUUGCGUAUGUACUGUUUUUACUCGCUUAUUGGUUUUCUUGCUUACUGCUUUUUCUAAAAUGUACAUAUUCACCUGCAGUUUCUAAAUGUUUUUAACCUAUUUGUAUUGUCCCAACAUCAACAGGUUCAGCUCAAUCCCACUUCAUGUCUACAUCAUUCAGUGUCAUUUAACAGCGUUUUUCCUUUCUAACUUAUUCAUUUUGCCACCAAUUCAACCCGUUUCAACAUUUAGCUCAUGCAUCUUAUGCCUAACUAUUCCACAACUUCUCACUUACCAAUAAUUCGAAAUUCUCUAAAACUUCGUUUUUCUACUCUAAAUUCUACAAUUUUCAACCGAUUCUACCUAUUCCAACUUUCAACUGUUCAUCUUUUGCCUACCUAUUCCACAACU
Molecule: long non-coding RNA, 1799 nt
Organism: Syngnathus typhle (broad-nosed pipefish)
Lineage: Eukaryota; Metazoa; Chordata; Actinopteri; Syngnathiformes; Syngnathidae
Exons: 5
Source: RefSeq, a predicted model, not a curated record